GACGAACGCUGGCGGCGUGCUUAACACACGCAAGUCGAACGGAAAGGCCCUGCUUGCAGGGUACUCGAGUGGCGAACGGGUGAGUAACACGUGGGUGAUCUGCCCUGCACUUCGGGAUAAGCUUGGGAAACUGGGUCUAAUACCGGAUAGGAACCAUCUUUAGUGUGGUGGUUGGAAAGUUUUUUCGGUGUAGGAUGAGCUCGCGGCCUAUCAGCUUGUUGGUGGGGUAAUGGCCUACCAAGGCGGCGACGGGUAGCCGGCCUGAGAGGGUGUACGGCCACAUUGGGACUGAGAUACGGCCCAGACUCCUACGGGAGGCAGCAGUGGGGAAUAUUGCACAAUGGGCGCAAGCCUGAUGCAGCGACGCCGCGUGGGGGAUGAAGGCCUUCGGGUUGUAAACUCCUUUCGCUAGGGACGAAGCUUUUUGUGACGGUACCUAGAUAAGAAGCACCGGCUAACUACGUG
Molecule: ribosomal RNA, 465 nt
Filed under: uncultured bacterium
Lineage: Bacteria
Description: partial 16S ribosomal RNA
Rfam family: Bacterial small subunit ribosomal RNA
Source: RNAcentral